GGGGGGGGCUAGCGUUGUUCGGAAUUACUGGGCGUAAAGGGUGCGCAGGCGGCCUGGGAAGUCUUGGGUGAAAGCCCCCAGCUCAACUGGGGAAUGGCCUGAGAAACCACUGGGCUGGAGUGCUGGAGAGGGAAGCGGAAUUCCCGGUGGAGCGGUGAAAUGCGUAGAUAUCGGGAGGAACACCAGAGGCGAAGGCGGCUUCCUGGACAGACACUGACGCUGAGGCACGAAAGCUAGGGGAGCAAACGGGAUUAGAUACCCCGGUAGUCCUAGCUGUAGACGAUGGGUACUAGAUGUGGGAGUAAUUGAAGUCCUUCCGUGUCCCGCGAUAACUCAAUAAGUACCCCGCCUGGGGAGUACGGCCGCAAGGCUG
This 373-nucleotide ribosomal RNA is filed under the name uncultured organism. RNAcentral's name for it is "partial 16S ribosomal RNA". It matches the Rfam family "Bacterial small subunit ribosomal RNA", at positions 527 to 896 of the family's 1533-position model. The record is from RNAcentral.